This 740-nucleotide ribosomal RNA is filed under the name uncultured bacterium. Its description in RNAcentral is "bacterial SSU rRNA". It matches the Rfam family "Bacterial small subunit ribosomal RNA", at positions 8 to 796 of the family's 1533-position model. The record is from RNAcentral.
AGAGUUUGAUCAUGGCUCAGAACGAACGCUGGCGGCAGGCUUAACACAUGCAAGUCGAGCGCGUAGCAAUACGAGCGGCAGACGGGUGAGUAACGCGUGGGAAUCUACCCAUCUCUACGGAAUAACGCAUGGAAACGUGUGCUAAUACCGUAUACGCCCUUCGGGGGAAAGAUUUAUCGGAGAUGGAUGAGCCCGCGUUGGAUUAGCUAGUUGGUGGGGUAAAGGCCUACCAAGGCGACGAUCCAUAGCUGGUCUGAGAGGAUGAUCAGCCACAUUGGGACUGAGACACGGCCCAAACUCCUACGGGAGGCAGCAGUGGGGAAUAUUGGACAAUGGGCGCAAGCCUGAUCCAGCCAUGCCGCGUGAGUGAUGAAGGCCUUAGGGUUGUAAAGCUCUUUCACCGGAGAAGAUAAUGACGGUAUCCGGAGAAGAAGCCCCGGCUAACUUCGUGCCAGCAGCCGCGGUAAUACGAAGGGGGCUAGCGUUGUUCGGAAUUACUGGGCGUAAAGCGCACGUAGGCGGAUCGAUCAGUCAGGGGUGAAAUCCCAGAGCUCAACUCUGGAACUGCCUUUGAUACUGUCGAUCUAGAGUAUGGAAGAGGUGAGUGGAAUUCCGAGUGUAGAGGUGAAAUUCGUAGAUAUUCGGAGGAACACCAGUGGCGAAGGCGGCUCACUGGUCCAUUACUGACGCUGAGGUGCGAAAGCGUGGGGAGCAAACAGGAUUAGAUACCCUAGUAGUCC